This 253-nucleotide ribosomal RNA is filed under the name uncultured bacterium. Its description in RNAcentral is "partial 16S ribosomal RNA". It matches the Rfam family "Bacterial small subunit ribosomal RNA", at positions 524 to 776 of the family's 1533-position model. The record is from RNAcentral.
UACGAGUGCCCCAAGCGUUAUCCGGAAUCAUUGGGCGUAAAGGGUGUGUAGGUGGUUGUGUUAGUCUUUUGUUAAAUUCUUCGGCUUAACCGGGGGCAUGCAAGGGAAACGGCACAACUAGAGGAUGCGAGAGGUAUAUGGAACUCAUGGAGUAGGGGUGAAAUCCGUUGAUAUCAUGGGGAACACCAAAUGCGAAGGCAGUAUACUGGCGCACUCCUGACACUGAAACACGAAAGCGUAGGUAGCGAAUGGG